This is a long non-coding RNA of Helicoverpa armigera (cotton bollworm), 433 nucleotides long. RefSeq lists it as uncharacterized. The transcript has 2 exons. The record is from RefSeq and is a predicted model, not a curated record. NCBI's taxonomy places the organism in Eukaryota, Metazoa, Arthropoda, Insecta, Lepidoptera, Noctuidae.
AUUACAAACCUGGGUGAGAAAUAUUAUUCAUUGAGAACAGACCUGCUCGGUGGGAUGUGUCAAUUAAUAUUGUGGCUAUGUCUCCUCGCCGUCAUUUUCGUGACUUUAUCCGACGGUAAAAUGAUUCCCGUUACUAAAAGAACGCCACGACCAAAGAAGACCAAAUAUAUUCUUCCCAAAGACUUCUUGGAAAGAGGCAAGAGCCUCUUGGCCAGCGUCAAAAUACCGAACCAAGAAUUCUGUUCAGAAAUGAUCCUGUUACCUGAAGACCAGUAUGUAGUUCUCCCGUGGUGGUUCAACUACUGCCAGGAGCUUAGAGAGAAGUCUGCAAAAGGCAUUACUGGGAACGUACACUAUACAGCCAUACAUAGGCACAUUCUUGAUGAGUUGCAAGCCUAUAAGAAGAAGGUGAGGGAAAAACAACAGAAGAAAA